This 225-nucleotide long non-coding RNA is filed under the name Elaeis guineensis (African oil palm). RNAcentral's name for it is "long non-coding RNA (EGUI_LNC031195)". Lineage: Eukaryota; Viridiplantae; Streptophyta; Magnoliopsida; Arecales; Arecaceae. The record is from RNAcentral.
UGGGGUGUUCUGGAUAUGAUGAAGAGUGCAUGGAGGUUGUGAGUGAUCGAUAAGGGAUCAAUCACUCAUAAUAAGGGGAGCGAACAUCCUAUGUGAUCUCAUAGGUCGUUGAUUCAGAAGUCUUUGACCAAAGCAGGAUGAUAAUUAGAAAAAAAUUUCUAAUAUAUCAUCUACUGAAUCAACACCUUCAGUUUGAGAUACAUAAUAAUAAGGGAUUGGAUCGGA